CUCUCUUGUUUCCAAGGGCCACGAUCCCCAUAAUUUUCUGCCUCUGGAAAUCUCAUCAUAGCACCAUUCGGGAAACCACCUUGAAUGAAGUUAUUGAAAGAACCACCACAACAAUACAUAUUAUGAAGAUUAUACGUAUUUCUAGUUUGGAGAAUGACACUUUAACCAAAAACAGACUGGAAAAAAAAUGAAGAUUUUGUUUAAUGAUGACUGUAUGCCAGGCAAAAGAUGCAAAUCACCAGCUGAAUUUUGUCUCUUCUAAGGUAAGCCACUCAGAAGUGAAAGGCAAAUAAGGUUUCUUUAAGUACACACUUUAUAAAUGUGGAAACA
Molecule: long non-coding RNA, 330 nt
Filed under: Chinchilla lanigera (long-tailed chinchilla)
Lineage: Eukaryota; Metazoa; Chordata; Mammalia; Rodentia; Chinchillidae
Description: lncRNA (ENSCLAG00000024428.1)
Source: RNAcentral